RNAcentral lists this ribosomal RNA (292 nucleotides) under uncultured bacterium. Its description in RNAcentral is "partial 16S ribosomal RNA". The record is from RNAcentral.
GGACUACACGGGUAUCUAAUCCUGUUCGCUCCCCACGCUUUCGCUCCUCAGCGUCAGGUAAGGCCCAGAGAACCGCCUUCGCCACCGGUGUUCCUCCCGAUAUCUGCGCAUUUCACCGCUACACCGGGAAUUCCAUUCUCCCCUACCUACCUCUAGUCUGCCCGUAUCCACUGCAAGCCCAGGGUUGAGCCCUGGGUUUUCACAGCGGACGUGACGGACCGCCUACGAGCUCUUUACGCCCAAUAAUUCCGGACAACGCUUGCGCCCUACGUGUUACCGCGGCUGCUGGCAC